This 18-nucleotide microRNA is filed under the name Ornithorhynchus anatinus (platypus). Its description in RNAcentral is "oan-miR-1387". The record is from miRBase by way of RNAcentral. Lineage: Eukaryota; Metazoa; Chordata; Mammalia; Monotremata; Ornithorhynchidae.
GGUUUAAACUUCGAAAUG